Molecule: long non-coding RNA, 2412 nt
Filed under: Brassica napus (rape)
Lineage: Eukaryota; Viridiplantae; Streptophyta; Magnoliopsida; Brassicales; Brassicaceae
Description: long non-coding RNA (BNAP_LNC010697)
Source: RNAcentral
UUAUUUGGGUUUAGGUUCUAUACUUGGGUUUAGGGUUUAGUGAUUAGGAUUUAGGGUUUAGUAUUUGGAAGGUGCGGGUUGAGGUUUGGGUUUAGUGAUAGCAGUUUAGGGUUUAGUAUUCAAAAGUUGGGUCUGGAUUUAGCAUUUAGGAGUUGUGUGUUGAAUUAGAGACUUAGAGUCCUAUACUAUUUCGAUGAUAUGAAACACAUUUUGUAUUUGAGUUUAGGGUUUGUAUUUAGAUUUCGGAUUUAGUGUUUAGGGUUUAGUAUUUAGAGGCUUGGAGUAGGUGGGGUUGGGAUAAAAUUUAUUAUUUAGGGGUUUGGAUAGAGUUGAUCUCUUAUACUAUUUUGUUAUACUAAAUAGAACUUGUGUUUAGUAAGUAAUGAAAUAUACCAUUUAUUGCAAAGGUGUUUUAAUUUUAUUCACGCUUUACUGUGCAUGGUUAACUGCACCGUCAUAAAUUGCACUAUCAGAAAUUGCACGCUUUAGGGAUCUAGGUUUAUAGUAAAGUUUAGUUGCACUAUCAUAAAUUGCAUACUAUAAUAAAUAAGUAUGUGGUAAAUAAAUGUUUGGUGUGGUUUCCACUACGUGAUGGAAUUAUAAUAAUUGUGUUUAAUUUCUAGCCAUAACUAUAAUUGAUGAUGUCAUCCACACUCUUCUUCUUUCACCGAGUACCUGUCAAAAGAGAAGGUAUAACCGAUUCAAUCAUAGGCAAAAUGUUACUAGGUUAAUAAUGUCAAAAUCAAUGCUAUUGGCUUAAUUUCUAUUGCAAACUUGGUUAUUUGCAAAUUCACCCAAAAUAAAAUUCAAAAUAAUUCAACUGUUAACAAUACUGUUCACUUUUUCAAGAAUGUGUUCAGUGGAAAAAUAAGGUUUUUGUGUCAUAAUUUAUUUAAUGUCUAAUCCGAUCAAUCCAUGAUAUAUUAAUUAUAGUUUAGUUACACAAUUUUUAAUAAAAAAUGAUCUGGUCCAUCAGAAAAAAUUAUAUAAUAACAACAAAAAAUAUUGUAUAUAUAUAAAUAAAAUGAUCAAAUAUAUAAAAAAAAAUUGUCUAUAAUAUAUACAAAUAAACUCACCAUGCGCUUAUCCCAGUUUUAUAUCAUUUGUGCCUUUAAUAUGAAAGUACACUGUUGAAAAACAACGUCGUAAUAUGAAGUAUCAAAACAUGACUUCCUUGAAUUGACCGGAGAAGAUGAACAGUUUUUGUAACAUUGUGUUCUAUUCUAUUUUAUGCGUAUGGAAUAGAAAUGUAAAACAAUAUGUAUUAUGAAUGUUUUAUUCAUGUUAUGUAAUGUGAAAUAGUCUGUUACUAUACUUAUUUAUCAUGUAUCGUUCCACUUGAUGAUUAAUAAAGAAUGUGUUAUUUUCUUCACCAAUAUGUACUAUAUACUAUGUAUUUUAUUCCAUUCUAUUUGGGUUUAGGGUUUAGUGAUUAAGAUUUAAGGUUUAGUAUUUGGAAGUUAGGGGUUGAGGUUUGGGUUUAGUGAUAGCAGUUUAGGGUUUAGUAUUCAAAAGUUAGAUAUGGAAUUAGCAUUUAUGAGUUGUGUGUUGGGUUAGAGCCUAUACUUUUCAAAAAUUAGGUUUGGAUUUAGUUUAAUAUUACAAAAUAUUAUAUACUAUUUUCAGAUUUUGGUAAUUAGAUUUAGGGAUUAUAAUUAUGUUUUAUAUUUGAGUUUAGUAUUUUAAAGUUUGUUUUGGGUUUAGUAUUUAAGAGUUGUAAUAUGUAUUAUGAAUGUGCUAUUCAUGUUAUGUAAUGCAAAAUAGUAUGUUACUAUACAUUUUUAUCAUGUAUCAUUCCAUUUGACGAUUAAUAAAGAAUGUAUUAUUUUAUUCACCAGUAUGUACUAUACUAUAUAUUUUGUUCUAUUUUAUUUGGGUUUAGGGUUUAUACUUGGAUUUAGGGUUUAGUGAUUAGGAUUUAGGGUUUAGUACGUAGAAAGUGGGGUUGAAGUUUGGGUUUAGUGACCCUAUCAUGUAUUGUUCCAUUUGAUGAUUAAUAAAAAAGUGUUUUAUUUUGUUCACCAAUAUGUACUAUACUAUGUAUUUUGUUUUAUUUUAUUUGGGUUUAGGUUCUAUACUUGGGUUUAGGGUUUAGUGAUUAGGAUUUAGGGUUUAGUAUUUGGAAGGUGCGGGUUGAGGUUUGGGUUUAGUGAUAGCAGUUUAGGGUUUAGUAUUCAAAAGUUGGGUCUGGAUUUAGCAUUUAGGAGUUGUGUGUUGAAUUAGAGACUUAGAGUCCUAUACUAUUUCGAUGAUAUGAAACACAUUUUGUAUUUGAGUUUAGGGUUUGUAUUUAGAUUUCGGAUUUAGUGUUUAGGGUUUAGUAUUUAGAGGCUUGGAGUAGGUGGGGUUGGGAUAAAAUUUAUUAUUUAGGGGUUUGGAUAGAGUUGAUCUCUUAUACUAUUUUGUUAUACU